Molecule: ribosomal RNA, 1155 nt
Filed under: Triticum aestivum (bread wheat)
Lineage: Eukaryota; Viridiplantae; Streptophyta; Magnoliopsida; Poales; Poaceae
Description: partial small subunit ribosomal RNA
Source: RNAcentral
AUGGCGCUCCCAGAUGAACUCCUGGAGGAGAUCUUCCUCCGCCUCGCCGCGGCCGCCGACCUCACGCGAGCCUCAGCGGCGUGCGUCUCCUUCCGCCGCGUCAUCACCGGUCACCCCUUCCUCCGCCGGUUCCGCACCCUCCACGCGCCGCCCCUCCUGGGCAUCCUCUGCGGCGGCCUCAUCCCCGCCCAGCCGCCCCACCCUUCCGCCGCAGCGGCAGCCGCCUUUGCCGACGCCGACUUGUCGUGCUCCUUUCUUCCCCCAUCCCGCGACGGCCGCGCCUGGCGCCACCGCGACGGCCGCGACGGCCGCGCCCUUUUCUCCCCCGCCCUCGAGGGGAUCGGCGGCGACUACAACCCCAGCCACCUGGCCACGGAGUUCGCCGUAUGCGACCCCCUGCACCGUCGCUACCUCCUGCUGCCGGCCCUCCCGGACCUUCUGGUCGGUCAAGUCCAUAGGCCGGACAUCGUGGAGUGCGAGCCCUUCCUCGCUCCUCCUGGCCCUGACGACGUUGGGGCUGACUGGUCGUCAUUCAGAGUCAUGUACUUGGUGCGGUGCACAACCAAGCUCGUCCUCUUCGUCUUCUCUACCUGCGCCGGACAAUGGCUCGCUAAUCCUGUUACAGUUGACGUGUUUCGAUGCGGGGCGGCGAUGCACCGCUUCUAUGCCCAUGGAUGCUUCUGUUGGGAGGUUUUUCGGUCUGACAAGUUGCUCGUGCUCGAUGCGCGCAGGAUAGAGUUCUCCACUAUUGACCUCCCGACUCCACCUGGCCCUGAUGUGCGAAAGAUGGCCAUUGUAGAGGCAGGAGGAGGAAGGCUUGGGAUGCUUACUAUCUCUAAGCAUCCUGAACCUGGUGCAGAUCCUGGUGCAGAUCAUCUCCUGUAUGCCGUACAGUCUAAGGAUGCGAAUGCCACAAACCAGUGGCAGUCCAAGUCAGUAAUUUCUUUGCCGGAAAAUUAUCGCUAUGGCAUCAUGGGUGUAGCUGGUGGAUACUUACUCCUAACUGGGUAUCCACAAGACAAUAGGCCAAUAAGCUAUUUUUCACUGAAUCUCCAGACUUUCCAGCUUGAGUGGUUUUGUCAGACUGGUGAUAAAGUCAUCUUUGGUGACCUGUAUGCCGAUCUCCCACCGUCCUUGUCCCCACCAACUCUUUGA